This is a long non-coding RNA of Paramacrobiotus metropolitanus, 1424 nucleotides long. RefSeq lists it as uncharacterized. The record is from RefSeq and is a predicted model, not a curated record. The transcript is spliced from 3 exons. Lineage: Eukaryota; Metazoa; Tardigrada; Eutardigrada; Parachela; Macrobiotidae.
UGCUGCGUCACUUACCAUUAGUUUUUUAUCAUUUUUUAAUUUUUACUCAAUUUUGAUGUUUCGAAGUUAGUGUACAGUAUUACUUGCUUUACGAUAAGAAUCAUGAUUGAAGAUCGGUUGACAGAUUUAUAAUAAACCUUUUUUCCCAUUGCCUGCUGCUCCAUACGGGCUGCGAAUGAGCGGAAAGUUUUAAUAUUUUAUAACUGUACGAGUAUUUUACCACCGUGGUGAUACUGCACAUACUGUACGUCGUACUGAGCCUGUUUUUAUGAUUGUCCUGAGAUGUCCUCCCAACAGUUUCCCACUUCACACUAAAAUUUGUAGCAUUUUACUCAUAAAGAUAACACUGCACUUUGUUUACUCGUAGUGAUUUAUUUUGGCUGUGCGGUUGGCCUGUUGCAUAGUAUACGAGAUGCUCAUUUGAGCACUAACUGCUCAGUGCUCACAUACUUGUCGUAUUAACGUAUCGGAAUUCUGCGCGGACUUCUGUCAGCAGCCUUUUACAGUUUUACCUGAUGCAUACAGUUUUAUCACCACUAUUAUUAUCUUUAGAUCGAAGGCGAGCCAUCCCCAUGAAUGCAUGAAUCACCUCCAUCCCCCCGAUUCCUUCAAGCAUCCCCGACCCCAACAGUACAUCCGGCACUUCCGUCUCUGCCUGAUCGCGGGUGGCAUCUUCACCCUACUGCUGCUGCUGUACUGCAUCGUCGCCAGUGUGUCUUUCGUCGCGGAGGCCGAGGACAAUCUUAUAGUAUUGAAAAAUUCCGUGCGCUCUGCGCAUGUUCGGCUAGCUUCUUUAUCACUGCGCGAUGAAAUUUUGGAUACUCAGAGACGGCGCGUAAUGGGAAAUACGGUAGACGACGAAGAUGAAGGGCCUGAUAAGCGGCGGGGGGAGGGAGUGACGGUCCGCCGGAGGAGGGUGGGGUAUGUCUUCCGGUCGGUGGAUGGAUCUGAUGGGCUGUGAAUUUGUGGCGUGCUCUAAUCGUGGUGGUUACGUGAUCCGUGUUGCUCACAUGGUUAAUCGGGAGGUGGAAUAUUCACUACAGCAGUAUUCGGGACGUGAUAUUUUAUCCCGGUUGUGUAGUGCAAGUCAUGCCAGCUCACUGGAAGUCUGGAUGUGCCUGGUGUUUGUACGGUUUGAGAUGUCUGUUGUCUCGUUUUUCAAAGUUUAUCAAAAAUUUGCAGCUUUUUCCGUGUCUAGUCUCAUGCGUAUUGCAAUAGAGUAUUUUGUAUUUUGAAUAAGUGUAUCGUUUUAUGUUUUGUCGUUUGAGGUUUUUGCGGCUUGGCCGUGGGAGUUGAAUUUUGUUCAUCUCUUGUUGCCUGUCAGAAUAACCGGUUCCACUGCGUAAACCGAUCAUGAAACACAUCUUUGUAAGCAGGUUUUGUGUCAUGAUUGGUGUUGGCGCAUUCUCUGGAAUAAUAAAGAA